AUGCAUUGGAAGCAACGAGCCCAUGUUAAAUGGCUGCAUGCUGGUGACAAAAAUACAUCUUUCUUUCAUGCUUUUGCCUCCGAAAGGAAGAGAAGGAAUCCCAUCAAGAAAUUGAAAAGGGAAGACGGUAGUUGGGUGGAGGGGCAAGAACAUUUGAAAGAGCAUAUUGCAAACUACUUUUUAAAAAUAUUCUCCUCCACGACAGAAAGAGAUAAUAGGGAAAUUAUGCAAAUGGUGCAGCCAAAGGUGACAUCAGAGAUGAAUGACAUGAUAUGUGCUGAUUAUACAGAAGAGGAAGUAAAAAGAGCAUUAGACAACAUAGGUGAUUUAAAAGCACCGGGACCAGAUGGUAUGCCAGCCAUCUUCUUUAAAAGAUUUUGGCAAACUGUGGGGAACCAGAUCACUAGAGAAGUUCUUCAUAUACUGAGAGGAGGAGAUAUGCCUGAAGGAUGGAACGAUACACUAGUAGUGCUUAUUCCGAAGAAUGCCAACCCUUUGAGCAUAAAGGACCUAAGACCUAUUAGCCUGUGUAAUGUGGUGUAUAAGGUGGUCUCUAAGGUAAUCACAAAUAGACUCAAAGUAAUUCUCCCCAACAUCAUCUCCCUCAAC
Molecule: ribosomal RNA, 609 nt
Filed under: Triticum aestivum (bread wheat)
Lineage: Eukaryota; Viridiplantae; Streptophyta; Magnoliopsida; Poales; Poaceae
Description: partial small subunit ribosomal RNA
Source: RNAcentral